Molecule: long non-coding RNA, 2571 nt
Organism: Herpailurus yagouaroundi (jaguarundi)
Lineage: Eukaryota; Metazoa; Chordata; Mammalia; Carnivora; Felidae
Exons: 2
Source: RefSeq, a predicted model, not a curated record
ACAGAGCCCAACAUGGGGCUUGAACCCACAAACUGUGAGAUCAUGACCUGAACUGGAGUUAGAUGCUUAACCAGCUGAGCCACCCAGGUGCCCUGGAACCACCUAGAGUUUUAAAACUGCUGUUCAGUCUUUUGGGUUUAAAGUCUAGAAUUUUUCCAAAGGGAAUUAGACUGUCCUCACUUCAGAUGGACUUCCCAGGUUUGGAUUCUGGUGUCAUUCAUUCUGGAGUAUAAAAAUGCUCCAAAGCGCCCCAGUAGGGGGAAGCUUUGAUUUACUUUAAGUCCAGCUGUCUUAGUGUGGAAGCAUACAUGAGGAGAAGGGGCCGUGGGAAGUGUUUGUGCUCUAUGGGAGGUUUAAUUUCCAUCUCAAGGGCUCCUCAGUGAUGAGAGCAUUGUUCCAGCAGUUAAGGAGGGUGUGGGUCUCUCGAUCAGGUAAAGGGGUAGGUCCCUGGGGAACACCACCUUCUAACUCCCAACUCUUUGACCUUACUCUUCUGGAAAUUUCUUAGUGUCCUUUGGAAAUAGAGAUAAGCUGGGACUGCUGGAAAUGAGGAAAUAAGUGCCCUGACAGGGCUGUUUCCAUCCACCUUCUACAAGAAGAAUGGCUUAGUUAAGAUGUCAGAAGGAAUGCUUUUGUUGUAAAAAAAAACAAAAAAACAAAAAAAACCCCCAAACAAACAAAAACAAAAAAGAGAAAACAAAACAAAACAAAAACCAAAAAACAAACCAGAAGGCCCUUCUAGAGAUUGGUUUUGAUGAGCUAAGGGCUGAUAACAGAUAUGGAAUGGGGUACAUUUUAGGAGGACAAAAACAUAACUUCUACUUUUGAACAAAAAUCGCUACGGCUUGUUAGUGUGAAGAUGGUAAAUCAAGAAAGUAGGAGUUUAAAGAUUUUAUUUGAAGUUAGGUUUCUGGCAUCAUUCAUGUUUAUAUUUACGAUGCUUUUAUAGCACUCCAGGCUCUUGAAGAGAAUUAGAAAGCUGCGGGAAAGUUGAAGAGAAAAAAGUAGUCUGCAUUUUUAUUGUCCAAGGACAAUCAUUGUUAAUAUUUUGGCAUUUUGGUGUAUUUCCUCAUCUUUUUUUCUUCUCCCAAUAGAGUUGUAAAUAGAGGUCUUGUAGCAUGCACAGUUCAUCUGGUAGCUCGAAUGGAAUAUAAAUGUCACUUGUGUAUUUUCCGCGAAGAGCAGCUUUUGGAAUACACUUGAGUUAGCUCUGCACUUGAGAGCUUGUCACUGGAUUCUGACUUACUGCUGAGUCUUUUUACAUUGAGCCGGACAUGAAUAGGUCCUGAGAAAUAAUGAACCAAAGUCUACUUUUUGUUAGGCCUCUGCACUUGGGUUGACGAACGACAGAAAAUAGCUAUUUGAUAGAUGGCUCUGCAGGUUGUGAGGUUGUCAGAUUUUAAAAAAGUGAAUAGCUUAUUGAUGUGCAAUCAAGAAUCUUUCUUUGUUUGUUUUUUUCCCCCUGAUAACGCAGGGAAGUGGAAAGUUGACAUUCGGGAAUUAGGUCAUGGCUGUUACUCACCGUGGCAGUCAGAUACUUGUUCUGCUUAGAUAGAAUUUGCCUGAUGGAACUGGAUCUAGGAUAUUAAACAUUAGUAUCCUAGUUAUCAAGCAAUCACUUAAGUCAGCGAUUCUUAUUUUAUUAGUGUUUGGUUGAAUGCAGACUUUUAAGAAAGCUUUUCUCCUUUAUGAUGAUUAGGAUUAUACUAUUAGCAUGUCAGUGAAUAUAUUUAAGGUGUGUGGGAGAGGAGAUACCUGAAUCUGUUCGGUAACAGGCUACUUUUGGGGGAAAUCUGCCUGUCCCUCUGAUUAGUGCCUACUACGUUCAUUAUGGAUCAGAGAUGUUCUGUUGGGGGACCUAAGCUCAAUGGUCAUCAAGCACAGACUUUCUAAAAAUACCGUAACUUGUUCUAUUUAUUGGCUUUCUCAGGUGUGUAAAAGUUACUCACCAGUUCCUCAUGCUUACGUGAGCCAGGGCCAUGUUGGGGGCUCUGAGAGUGGGGUAGAGUCUUCCUUGGCUCUUUAUCCCAUGGGGCUGGCAUGAGACCAUCUCUGAGGGACAGGUGAGGGCUGAAGCUUGCCCAACUGGAGCCCCUCUCAUAGCUCCUUUCCCCCAGAUGAGCUUGGAACCUUUCAUUGCCAGCUCUUGGCCGGGGUGCUCCCAUUCCAGCUGGCCAAAGAGAAUGCUCAGGCCAGGUUGGGGUGCUUAAUGGAUUUUACAUACUCCUACAGGCAAAAAAAAAAAAAAAAAAAAAAAAAAGCCUCUAAAGGACUGAUUGUUUAAAUUGUUUCUUUCUGUGUAUGUUAAAUCAGGUUUAAGACUAUUUUAUAAUCACAGUAUGUAAUCAGAGCAUAUAUAGUAUUUUUAGACCUAUUCCUUGUUUUAUACUUUAGAUAGGUUGUGCCGUCUUAGGGUGGUGUGCCCAGUGGCUGUGGGAGCAGUUAAUGUCCAUUGUUUGGGAGCGUUUUAAGGCCUUUUGAAAUGGAGCUUUUGCACUUUAUACUAUUUUUGGGAACUAUGAGUUAUAUUUCAAUAUUAAAGCCAUAAGUGGCGUUUUCUGUGAAUGAAAA